GACGAACGCUGGCGGCGUGCCUAUACAUGCAAGUAGAACGCUGAAGGAGGAGCUUGCUUCUCCGGAUGAGUUGCGAACGGGUGAGUAACGCGUAGGUAACCUGCCUGGUAGCGGGGGAUAACUAUUGGAAACGAUAGCUAAUACCGCAUAAUAGUAGAUGUUGCAUGACAUUUGCUUAAAAGGUGCAAUUGCAUCACUACCAGAUGGACCUGCGUUGUAUUAGCUAGUUGGUGGGGUAACGGCUCACCAAGGCGACGAUACAUAGCCGACCUGAGAGGGUGAUCGGCCACACUGGGACUGAGACACGGCCCAGACUCCUACGGGAGGCAGCAGUAGGGAAUCUUCGGCAAUGGACGGAAGUCUGACCGAGCAACGCCGCGUGAGUGAAGAAGGUUUUCGGAUCGUAAAGCUCUGUUGUAAGAGAAGAACGAGUGUGAGAGUGGAAAGUUCACACUGUGACGGUAUCUUACCAGAAAGGGACGGCUAACUACGUGCCAGCAGCCGCGGUAAUACGUAGGUCCCGAGCGUUGUCCGGAUUUAUUGGGCGUAAAGCGAGCGCAGGCGGUUAGAUAAGUCUGAAGUUAAAGGCUGUGGCUUAACCAUAGUACGCUUUGGAAACUGUUUAACUUGAGUGCAAGAGGGGAGAGUGGAAUUCCAUGUGUAGCGGUGAAAUGCGUAGAUAUAUGGAGGAACACCGGUGGCGAAAGCGGCUCUCUGGCUUGUAACUGACGCUGAGGCUCGAAAGCGUGGGGAGCAAACAGG
This 762-nucleotide ribosomal RNA is filed under the name uncultured Streptococcus sp. RNAcentral's name for it is "bacterial SSU rRNA". It matches the Rfam family "Bacterial small subunit ribosomal RNA", at positions 28 to 776 of the family's 1533-position model. Lineage: Bacteria; Bacillati; Bacillota; Bacilli; Lactobacillales; Streptococcaceae. The record is from RNAcentral.